This 18-nucleotide small RNA is filed under the name Arabidopsis thaliana (thale cress). RNAcentral describes it as "ATSL138340". Lineage: Eukaryota; Viridiplantae; Streptophyta; Magnoliopsida; Brassicales; Brassicaceae. The record is from RNAcentral.
AUGGAGGUGAUGACAAUU